RNAcentral lists this small RNA (35 nucleotides) under Bombyx mori (domestic silkworm). RNAcentral describes it as "ovarian small RNA-11576". The record is from RNAcentral. Lineage: Eukaryota; Metazoa; Arthropoda; Insecta; Lepidoptera; Bombycidae.
ACGGGCCCCGUGUUCGAUUCACGGCUGAUGCACCA